CCUACGGGCUGCAGCAGUGGGGAAUAUUGGACAAUGUGCGAAAGCCUGAUCCAGCAAUGCCGCGUGUGUGAAGAAGGUCUUCGGAUUGUAAAGCACUUUCGACGGGGACGAUGAUGACGGUACCCGUAGAAGAAGCCCCGGCUAACUUCGUGCCAGCAGCCGCGGUAAUACGAAGGGGGCUAGCGUUGCUCGGAAUGACUGGGCGUAAAGGGCGCGUAGGCGGUUUAUGCAGUCAGAUGUGAAAUCCCCGGGCUUAACCUAGGAACUGCAUUUGAGACGCAUAGACUAGAGGUCGAGGGAGGGUUGUGGAAUUCCCAGUGUAGAGGUGAAAUUCGUAGAUAUUGGGAAGAACACCGGUGGCGAAGGCGGCAACCUGGCUCGACACUGACACUGAGAGACGAAAGCGAGGGGAGCGAAUGGGAUUAGAUACCCUCGUAGUC
RNAcentral lists this ribosomal RNA (440 nucleotides) under uncultured bacterium. RNAcentral's name for it is "bacterial SSU rRNA". It matches the Rfam family "Bacterial small subunit ribosomal RNA", at positions 338 to 795 of the family's 1533-position model. The record is from RNAcentral.